Molecule: ribosomal RNA, 403 nt
Filed under: Bacteroidota bacterium
Lineage: Bacteria; Pseudomonadati; Bacteroidota
Description: Bacteroidetes bacterium partial 16S ribosomal RNA
Rfam family: Bacterial small subunit ribosomal RNA
Source: RNAcentral
UGGGGAAUAUUGCACAAUGGAGGGAACUCUGAUGCAGCGACGCCGCGUGAACGAAGAAGGCUUUCGAGUCGUAAAGUUCUUUUAUAUGGGAAGAAAAUGACAGUACCAUAGGAAUAAGGACCGGCUAAUUACGUGCCAGCAGCCGCGGUAAUACGUAAGGUCCGAGCGUUGUCCGGAAUCAUUGGGCGUAAAGGGUACGUAGGCGGGUAAGCAAGUUAGAAGUGAAAUCCUGUAGCUCAACUACAGUAAGCUUUUAAAACUGCUCAUCUUGAGAUAUGGAAGGGAAAGUGGAAUUCCUAGUGUAGCGGUGAAAUGCGCAGAUAUUAGGAGGAAUACCGGUGGCGAAGGCGACUUUCUGGCCAUAAUCUGACGCUGAGGUACGAAAGCGUGGGUAGCAAACAGG